This is a long non-coding RNA of Leopardus geoffroyi (Geoffroy's cat), 1846 nucleotides long. RefSeq lists it as uncharacterized. The record is from RefSeq and is a predicted model, not a curated record. Lineage: Eukaryota; Metazoa; Chordata; Mammalia; Carnivora; Felidae. The transcript has 3 exons.
GGGAAAGGCAAGCAAACAAGUUGUCACAGCCACUCCCUGGGCAGAAAGGGGCUGAGUCACAAUACGGAGGAAUGACACUCAGGCUCCAGGCAGCUUUGGGACCGGAAAUCAGCUCUGCCAAUGGGGCGUGGCCAAGUCACUGUGACCUUGGAAGGAGAUGUGGAAGGGGUAGAGCUGACAAGAGGAUGUCGCUUCCUAUGGCUCAUGGAGAUGAGUUUCUUUAAAAGACAAGUCAGCAGACUGUCCUUGUGCAUAACUGUGGUGCCUUUCUGACAAGAGCCAUCCUGGAGGGGGCAGCGGGGCAUCUCCAUUUUUGUUGCUCAUUUCUGCAGAGCACUGGAGAGCAGGUGUGGUCGCAGAAGGUUGACUGUCUUGCUGAGCUCCCCAAACCCAAUUACACGGUAUGCUUAUCUUCCAGAACAUCUAUCUAGCAGGGACUGGUUGGACAGGAGGCCCCAUUGCCACUCAAGAAUUUUUGUUUCUCAUUUUCCUGCCCCACUGAGGUCCCAGGGCUUAAUGGAAUGUGAAACUGUACGGUUUCCUCUGCGCUAGCUAACUCAGAAGCAACGGUUUCUUAAAAAGCUCGGAAGAUCGACUCAACAUUCCGUGGGAGCCUUUCCCCGGCAGAUAAAACACCCUAGCUGAGUGGAAAGCAAGCAAACUGGUAUUGGGGUUCGGGACCCACGCGAAGCCUCCCAGAGCACUAAUGGAGAAGAGUAUUGUGCUUCCACCCAGAGGCGGCACCAAACUCCAGCAGGGACACGGGAAUGUGAAGGGUAGGGCUGGCCCUUCGCAGCAUGGGAAGAAGGAGGAGAUGCUUUUGAAUGAAAGCCCUGAUGUUUAAUGUUCUCCCGUAUAAAGGCCAUGACCCUGGAAUGUCUCCAACCUAAUCUAACAGUUGACCUCAACCAAGUCCUUAAGGCUCCAUCCCUCAUUUGCUAUGUUUUCAAGCUUUUUAGAGAAUUAAUGUUGAAUUUAGUAUAAGAGGUUACAUCUGACGUGAGGCUUGGCCGACCAGAACACCCACCAGCUACCACUGGUUGAUGGCAACCUGCGUGGGCAUGUUCUGAACUCUUUUAGGCCAAUGUUGUGAACCUGGUUGGCCCUCUAUGAAUGUUUGCUGCUCCUGGUUCUGAUGCUUCAGGAUGUGGGAACUUGGGUCACAUGUGGGAAAGGAUCUGGACUGAUGUGUUCCCUAAGCUCAGGAGGCCAGGGUCUCCUGUGGCGGAUGCAGAAACUGAUGUCUCAUCGUUCUCUUUUGUGGAAUUUAUCUGGUCAAGGAAGAGACAUCAAGGAAGAGAAAGUCAUUCUGGCUCAUUCUCAAAGUCAGUCUCAAGGUCAUUUCCUAGCCUGGCCUUGAGCACAUCCCAGCUUCUGGUUGGGCCCUAAACCGAAUGACCCCCACAGGGGUGGGUGCUCUAGACAGGGAGGAACCCUGGAAGGCUCAGACCCUGUGAAGUGAUCACAUCAACUCUGAGACUCACAGCUGUCAGCAACCUGGUGUCUGAUAAGCUUUCCUGGACAUCAGAUAACUGUGAAAUAACGUUUUGAUGAAUUAAGUAAAAAACGAAUCACAAACAUGUGGAAUACAUUUUCUUCACUGCACUCAAGAUUUAAAAUUUACAAGGAAAAGUAUUUGGCCACAUUUGCCAAACCUAAGAAGCAUUUGAAAGCAAGCCAGCAAAAGAUGUUUCAUGGAGACCAGCUGGGUUUGCUCAGCUUUGCUCAUAAAGAGGGUCCAUAAAGAAAUCGCUUCAGCCUUUACUGUUCUAUCAGCCCCUACUGGAGACACUUCCUUGGGAACGGAGGACUAAAAGAAUUUGGUCAGCUCUUGCCUACCGGGUCC